Molecule: long non-coding RNA, 829 nt
Organism: Silurus meridionalis
Lineage: Eukaryota; Metazoa; Chordata; Actinopteri; Siluriformes; Siluridae
Exons: 3
Source: RefSeq, a predicted model, not a curated record
CAUGAUUUUGAAGCCCAUAAUGAUUGUUUUAGUCUUAGCUGAACCUCAACAUACAUGGCCAGAACAUCAGGGGGAAUUUGGAUUAUAAACAAAGAAACAUCUCAGAAACUCUGGAAAGAGAGCUGGUUUCAGUACCUCCGACGAUCCCGACACAUAUGUACAAAUGCGUGAUGGUGCUGCUGAAGGAAGCCGCCACCAUGGAAACGCUGCACAUGAGGCCUCCUGUGAUCACAACGGGCCUGCUACCGUAACGGUUCACCAACACACUGCUCACCGGACCUGGAUAUACACACACACAAAUGGGGUAAAUAAAUACAGUGGACUCACACUCUAGUUGGUGUUUACACAAACCUGCUGAACAUGAGCAGCAGAAGAGCAGAGAGGAUUAGCGUAACUCGUGGAUUGGCUGCUCGUUCGAGAGGUGACAUUUCCUCAGGAGGGGUUUCAAUAUCUUCUAAAAUCCCAGUCACCUGAGGAAGAUGGGGGUCAUCACACAUCGCGCGUUAUGUUCCCACAGGGAGCGACGCUGAAGGGGAAAAAUGCAGUGGUGUCCGUGUGUGAUGAAUUUCUGCUGUCGUUCUUCCGCCAUGUGCGGGGUGACAUUGGGAAAGAAGCCAAGGGCGUUAUGAUGAAGGCCAAUGCCGCCAUCAGUACACAGGGGAACUCUGUAUCUCUCUCUCUCGCUCUGUUAAUGAUGAUGCUUCUCUAAAACCUUAUAGCGCUUUGCUGCCUUUAUCUUGCUUUCUUGGGACGAUUUUUAUAUUGUGCCGAUAUAAAAAAAGAAUGGACCAGGGCCCCCUUUAGCCAAUAAAUAAACAGUCUGUCUGUC